GUGCCAGCAGCCGCGGUAAUACGUAGGGGGCAAGCGUUGUCCGGAAUCACUGGGCGUAAAGCGCAUGUAGGCGGGAUAUUAAGUCAGGUGUGAAAACUAUGGGCUCAACCUGUAGAUUGCAUCUGAAACUGAUAUUCUUGAGUAUUGGAGAGGAAAGUGGAAUUCCUAGUGUAGCGGUGAAAUGCGUAGAUAUUAGGAGGAACACCAGUGGCGAAGGCGACUUUCUGGCCAAAAACUGACGCUGAGAUGC
RNAcentral lists this ribosomal RNA (250 nucleotides) under uncultured bacterium. Its description in RNAcentral is "partial 16S ribosomal RNA". It matches the Rfam family "Bacterial small subunit ribosomal RNA", at positions 505 to 754 of the family's 1533-position model. The record is from RNAcentral.